CAACCUGCCUGCCGGCGGCGCCCACCCGGCCGCGGCAGGCGCCUCCGAGCCGGGGCACGGCUCUGCCCCCUGGGCAGGCGGGCGGCCGCCCCGACCCUCGCUCACCGCCUAAGAUACAGCCCUUCGGCAGCGGCCGCGCAGCACACCGGCACGGCGAGGCUCGCCGCCGCUGCGGAGGGCAGGGAGCCCGCCCGGGGCAGGCAAGCCGCGGGCGCUCCAGCCGCCCCGGGCUCUGCCGCAGACACACGCGUUUAUUUUAACAGCCUCUCGCCGCCAGCGCCGUGGGGAAGCGCCUUGCCCGAGAGCGGCCCGUGCCACCGGGAGGUCGCACGGAGAGUGCCCACGGUGACCGAGCAUCGGGCUCCGGGCCAGCGCUCCCCUCGCCGGGGGCGGCCACUGCCGCCACCUCACGCCGGCUAACGGCCGCCCGCAGCUCGCGCCCCCACCUCCCUCACCGCCGCUCACGGGGCCGCCCGCAGCCAAUGAGCGCCCGCAACGUCCGGCGGCGGGGCGGGGCGUGUGGCGGGGCCGGUCUCCCGCAGCCGCCGGAGACCCCGCUGGCCCCAGAGCCGGGGCGACCCCGGGGCGGGGGAGCCUCCGGGGAAAUGGCCUUUGGGAGGCGAGACGCGGUGCCUGCGCUUCCCGGCAGCGUUCCAGUGCGCUCCCGCGGCUGCGAACUAACCGCCGGCUGCCGGAGCCGCCACUGAACCAGGAGCCGGCGCAGGUUCCGCACCGACACACGCCCCCGGUCCUGCUGCUGACAACGGCUUUGGGUCAGCUGGAGUCACAGACUCAUGGAGCGCCGGCUGGAAGGGACCUCAAGGAUCAUCUGGUCCAACCUUUCUUGGCAAAAGCACAGUCCGGACAAGCUGGCCCAGCACCUUGUCCAGCUGAAUCUUAAAAGUGGCCAAUGUUGGGGAAUCCACCACUUCCCUGGGGAGGUAAUUCCAAUGGCUGGUUGUUCUCAUCUUGAAAAAAAUUCCUUUUGUGUCCAAUCGGAAUCUCCCCAGGAGUAACUUCUACCCAUUGCCCCUCAUCUUUUCCAUUUGACUCCUUGUAGAAAAGGAGUCUGCAUCUUCUUCUUUGUAGCCACCCUGUAAAUACUGAAACAUGGUGAUGAGGUCUCCCCUAAGCCUUCUUUUCUCAAGGCUGAGCAAGCCCAGUUCUCUCUUUCUUCACACGGCAGCUUACCAGUCCUUUGAUUAUCUUUGUGGCCCUUCUCUGGACCUUCUCCAGCCUGUGGUGGUUUUGUACAAACCUGAGUGAGGUGUGGGGAACAGCAUUUGUUUUCCUUAGAUCUGCCACGGCUGUUCACCUGGCCGGUUCCCUCGCUUGGGUGUUUCAGCAGCAUGGGGAGCCUUUCUCUGGCUUCACCUGGUUUGGCUUCCCUGUGACACAGGCCGUGCUGGGUUUUUGAAAGCAAGUCCUCAUUUAAUUUUCAAAGCAAAAUAAUUUUCUUUUGGGGAAGCCGUUCAGCCUCAUUUGAAGGCUACCAUAAGGUGAAGUGAUGUCAACUCAUAGCACUUUCACUGUGACACUGGAAGUUGUACAGGCACUGGAGAUUAUUACCUUGGCUCAUAUCAAGAAAAAAAUCUCAGCCUCAUGGAUGAAGAGGAAAAAGCGUACAUAUAAAUCCCGAAAGCAGUAGUUCUUAGGGCAGAUGCCAGAGCAAAUAAAACUGUUAUUUCAGUUUUAGUAGUUAAGAAUUUUAAGUAAUUCCUGCCGCUUUUAGGGACUAAUAACAAUUUAGUGCUUGGGGCUGACAAUACAAGAGCACGGGAUCUAUUAAUAAAUGUCUUUUCAUCCUAGUGUGGUCCUUGGCCCCUGUUGACUUUGGUGGCUUUUGAGUCAGGCUCAUGGGGCUUCACUGUCCUCAAUCUGGGAGGUGCAGGAGAGUCUGAUGAUUUCUUGGGACUCACCUCAAGUGAUACAGGCACAAGCAUCUCACGUGAUCGUAAUUUUGCAAUAACCUAUGACUUCUGUUUCAUAAAAGGCUUCCUCUUGCCAGCAUAUUCAGCACUAAGAGGACUGAACCACAGCUAACAAAGAGUUGCUUGCCCCUUGUUAAGGCUGUGCGCAUGUCUGUCUUUGUUUUCCUGGUUUUCAGGAAGCUGUGUGCCCAGCAUUGUCUGCUUCUCUCCUGCCUUUCACAAGACUUCAGAGGACCAUUUUUGUUGCCACAGAGACCCACCCACAGAAGCUACUGCAACAACGGUCAAUAUUCAAAAUAAUUGUAAAGAAAGUGUUUAUUGACAAUUAUUUUCAAAGUAAAAAGAAAAAAAUGUUCUCUCUGUAACGCUUUUGAAAAUAAAGGUCUUUUUCCAAUUA
Molecule: long non-coding RNA, 2328 nt
Organism: Columba livia (rock pigeon)
Lineage: Eukaryota; Metazoa; Chordata; Aves; Columbiformes; Columbidae
Exons: 2
Source: RefSeq, a predicted model, not a curated record